Anarrhichthys ocellatus (wolf-eel) is the source of this 2678-nucleotide long non-coding RNA. RefSeq lists it as uncharacterized. Lineage: Eukaryota; Metazoa; Chordata; Actinopteri; Perciformes; Anarhichadidae. The transcript has 3 exons. The record is from RefSeq and is a predicted model, not a curated record.
GAGCUGUGGUUUUAGCUUUCAUUGACACAAACUUUAGCCAAUAGGACCCUCACCUAUUCAUGGACAGGAAGGGAGAAAACUGAAAGAAAUAACUUGGUUCAGGGGCAGAAACUCCGAAAUUAAAUUCUCUGCCAUCGUUGAGAUUGCUCAUAUGGUCAAGACCAAACGAGAUGUCUUGCUGUCAUGGAAUAUUUCACAGCGCUUGGAAGAUUAAAACAGCAAAGAGACAAGGUGGACAUCAGCUGGUCAUGGCUGGGUUUGGCCCAGCUGGGACCUCCCCAUGAACUCUAACGCUUCAUGUCCAAUCUACACCACAAGGCGGCGCACUUGGACAUUCAAGUGCUGCCAGCUGGGCCCGCAGACAGAUUCCUCCAGAUGUGCUACGCUCUGAUUGGCUCGUCGACGUUGUUUUCUCACUGGCCUCGUCUCACUGCGUCUCAUAUUUCCAUUCUGAUGCGGAAGAAAGCGCUAAGGAUUAUGGGUGCAGUGGGUCCUCUCAUGUCGGGGGUGACUGUCCACCUGUCAGCCAGCUGGUGAGGAAAAGAGCACACAGCCAAUAAGAUUCGAUUUUGAUCAGCUGCUGUAUGCUCGGAGGGAAAUGUAGAACCAUUGCAUCCUUGAUAGGGAAAUGCGAGAGUAUAUCUGAUGUUAUCGUGUCAGAUCGCGGCGAAGAAUUACAGAAAAGAUCAGAUGGUAACACUUCAAAUGGCAUGACUUGAAGCAUGAAGAACAUCGACAGAUGUUUAUUUUAAUACACCUUGUCUAUCUGCGUCUGUAGAUUUCUCCUAAAUUUAGCAAAAGAUAGCAUUAGAUAAUGCCUCAUUUGCAUAUUUAAACGUAAUUAUAGAGAAGUUUCAUGGUGAUAUAUAUUAGUUAUUUGUUGCCCCUCACCUGCAUGGAAUCAUUCGUUAUAUUUAUUCAAUCGUUUAUUGUGGCUUCCUCUUUAUUUUGUUGUGUGUUCGUCCAUACUGUACCACAACUUUGAGUACAAAGAGCCAUUUCAGUGAGAGUUAACAGAGUGAAAUUUCCUUUUUUCUAUUUAGUAUGCAUUUGAGGGUGUCUCAAAGCAUUUUAAAAGGGGACAACGUGAUUCUGAACAAGGAUGCCCGUCCACAUUUUUCUACUGUAAAAUAAAGUAAACAAAGCAUAUGUGGCCCACACACUCAGACACCGGCAGCUGUCUGUCGAGGAAGUUUAGAGAUAGAGCAGAGAGAAAGAGAGAGUUAGUGAUUAAAGAGGAGGGGCGCGCACACACACACCUAUAAUCCUGUCACAGACUGAAGCAAAGAGAGAGACGACAGAGAGCAGAAAAGAUCAAAAACAGGGUUGAAGGAAGCAGAGAGUGAUGGAUAAAAAGGUUCAGACACACUGCCCUCUGUGACACACACAGAUAGAGGCACUAAUUAAACAGAGCACUGCACACCACACACACACACACACGCACACACACACACACACAUACACAAAGCAGACAUGCAGGGGCGGUUGAGGUUUCCAAAUUACAGCCUAUAUUCCAGUCGCUUUUUGUCUUUCUCCUCUGAAAACUUGCAACGGAUUUUCCAACGCAGUAAUACUGUCGGUAAAAACUAGAAACUAUGAAACUCUGCCCGUCUAUGAAAAACAAAAAAUAAAUAACGAAUUAGCAUUUCUAAAUUGUGGAGUGUGCCCCCCCGUUUCCAGUCUUAAGGCUAAGCUAAGCUAUCCAGCUUCUGGUGGUAGCUUAACAUUUACCACACGAGAGGUAUCCAUCUUCUCAUCUAGCUCUCAGCCAGAAAGCAAAUUAGCAUAUUCCCCAACAUGUCGAACAAUAAGGUUUUUUAAAUCAUUUGAUUUCACACUCCAACUGCAUUGCAUUUCUUUCAGAAUGAAUAAAGAUCUUGAAGUCAAUGGGUUCUUUAAUGUGUUUUUGGUAAAAUGCCUGAAAUCAGGUCUGUGGUUUACACAAGCUUAAGAGGUUCAAACGUUUUGCUCUACGAUAUAUAGAAUACGUCAGUAAAUAUCCCUCUUGUAAAUUGAGGAAGCUUUCACGGGUCUUAAAAAAGAAAGUUGGUAACAACGGGCUAAAUGAGACAACAAAAUGAAUUCACACCAACUAGUUCGCCUUCACGGCCUAGUUAUGUACAAUAGCACUCAUGCGAUCGUGGUGUAGUUUGUUUAUAGCCUAGCGUUAGCUUUUUACUUCUGCAAAUUGCACUUACGCUUCAAAAAUGAUUAAAAGUAGAGUUAAAGUGUAAACCUUGGAAGUAUCGUACAUUUUUAAUCCAGGAGAGAAAAGGAGAAAGAAGACAAAGGAAACACAAACACAAGAAAGUUAUCUUGCUCCAGCUAGCGAGGAACUCUUUUGCUGAGACCGUUGAUAGACAAAGAAUGAUAACCCUCAUCUCUGAAGUAUUUUGGCUAAUUUUCUGUCUGUUUAUUUGUGAAGUGAAACAAACUGAAAUCAACGCUGUGACACACAGCAACAUCUAUCUAAAGUUCGCUAACAUUGGCCACUAGCCAAGUGCUGUUCAUAUCAGACCAUGUUAUGCUUCAGCAACUAAUUCGCUGGAUGUGUUGGACUGAACACUGAUUGUUUAUAUUGCUUAUGAAUUUAGCUUAACAUUUGUAAGAGGAGAAUUGUGUAAAUUCUUCUUUCAAAAGUUCCAUAAUCUCACUUUAAGCCCGACUAAUUGUUAUAG